CAAGGAAUUUUCCGCAAUGGGCGCACGCCUGACGGAGCAACGCCGCGUGCCGGACGACGGCCUUAGGGUUGUAAAGCUCUUUCAGUCGUGACGAUGAUGACGGUAGCGACAGAAGAAGCCCCGGCUAACUCCGUGCCAGCAGCCGCGGUAAUACGGAGGGGGCAAGCGUUGUUCGGAUUUACUGGGCGUAAAGGGCGCGUAGGCGGGGUAUCCAGUUAGGGGUGAAAGCCCGGGGCUCAACCUCGGAACUGCCUUUAAAACUGAUACUCUAGAGUCCGGAAGAGGGUCGCGGAAUUCCCAGUGUAGAGGUGAAAUUCGUAGAUAUUGGGAAGAACACCGGUGGCGAAGGCGGCGACCUGGUCCGGUACUGACGCUGAGGCGCGAAAGCGUGGGGAGCAAACAGGAUUAGAUACCCCUGUAGUCC
RNAcentral lists this ribosomal RNA (424 nucleotides) under uncultured prokaryote. Its description in RNAcentral is "bacterial SSU rRNA". It matches the Rfam family "Bacterial small subunit ribosomal RNA", at positions 355 to 796 of the family's 1533-position model. The record is from RNAcentral.